ACGUACACUCCUACGGGAGGCAGCAGUGGGGAAUAUUGGACAAUGGGCGCAAGCCUGAUCCAGCCAUGCCGCGUGAGUGAUGAAGGCCCUAGGGUUGUAAAGCUCUUUUGUGCGGGAAGAUAAUGACGGUACCGCAAGAAUAAGCCCCGGCUAACUUCGUGCCAGCAGCCGCGGUAAUACGAAGGGGGCUAGCGUUGCUCGGAAUCACUGGGCGUAAAGGGUGCGUAGGCGGGUCUUUAAGUCAGGGGUGAAAUCCUGGAGCUCAACUCCAGAACUGCCUUUGAUACUGAAGAUCUUGAGUUCGGGAGAGGUGAGUGGAACUGCGAGUGUAGAGGUGAAAUUCGUAGAUAUUCGCAAGAACACCAGUGGCGAAGGCGGCUCACUGGCCCGAUACUGACGCUGAGGCACGAAAGCGUGGGGAGCAAACAGGAUUAGAAACCCUGGUAGUCCCAUG
This 454-nucleotide ribosomal RNA is filed under the name uncultured organism. Its description in RNAcentral is "partial 16S ribosomal RNA". It matches the Rfam family "Bacterial small subunit ribosomal RNA", at positions 329 to 799 of the family's 1533-position model. The record is from RNAcentral.